Molecule: ribosomal RNA, 379 nt
Filed under: uncultured eukaryote
Lineage: Eukaryota
Description: partial 18S ribosomal RNA
Rfam family: Eukaryotic small subunit ribosomal RNA
Source: RNAcentral
CAAUAGCGUAUAUUAAAGUUGUUGCGGUUAAAAAGCUCGUAGUUGGAUUUCUGCUGAGAACGACCGGUCCGCCCUUUGGGUGUGUAUCUGGCUCUUUCUUGGCAUCUUCUUGGUGAACGUUGCUGCACUUGACUGUGUGGAGCGCUACCCAGGACUUUUACUUUGAGGAAAUUAGAGUGUUUCAAGCAGGCAUACGCCUUGAAUACAUUAGCAUGGAAUAAUAAGAUAGGACCUCGGUUCUAUUUUGUUGGUUUCUAGAGCUGAGGUAAUGAUUAAUAGGGAUAGUUGGGGGCAUUCGUAUUUAACUGUCAGAGGUGAAAUUCUUGGAUUUGUUAAAGACGCACUACUGCGAAAGCAUUUGCCAAGGAUGUUUUCAUUG